Long non-coding RNA from Lactuca sativa (garden lettuce), 2065 nucleotides. RefSeq lists it as uncharacterized. The record is from RefSeq and is a predicted model, not a curated record. Lineage: Eukaryota; Viridiplantae; Streptophyta; Magnoliopsida; Asterales; Asteraceae.
UUGAAAAAUUGAUUGCUUACAACUAAUAUCUUUUUUUAUCUUAUAUUCUGUGAGUUCUUCAUUUCUCAUUCACAUGCAUCAAAUUGCUCAAUGAAACCUGUCCUAGGAUCAUUCCCUCUUUACAUUUUUCCGAUCUGCUCAGAUCACUGAUGUCGGGCCAGUUGGCAUCCACGGUGGUGCGGGACAGCUGACGUCCCUUCCUCCCUCUGGGAAAAAACCACCACAACAUCAUUCCCAACGUAUCAAGACCACAACCUCACACCCUCGCCACCAAUGUACAUCAAGGAAUCUGCCAGCCACCACCACUAACACUUUUUUAGGUUGGAUAUUUGUUUGGGUUUGGUUUCUUGAAGAUGUUCAUGGUGUUCUGGGACUCCACAAAUACGGUUCAUGAACGAAUGACACAAAAAAAUAUUGAUGGCAUUAUAAAAGGUAUAAUUUCACUACUAGAAAAAGUAUAAUAUAAUACGGUUGAAAGUAUGAAUAUAGUACAUACAUAGAGGGCGUAUUAGUAGAGGGGUGUAUUAGAUUCCAUGCCUAAUAGAGUACGGCUAUUUAACCGUACUCUAUAUGUAUCCUAUCUAUUUACAACCAUCCCAUAAAAGAAUCUAAUACACCAUAUUAUAGCAUCUAAUACACCACAAACAACCGUACUUGAUGUCACAUCCCCCAUUCCUGCAAUUCAUUCCUGAUUGCAUUCCAGCCUUAUUCAUCACCCAAUUCCACUCCAUGGAUGCUGUUGCGGAACACAUAGAUCACCAUUCCAACUGAAAUGAAUGGUUCAAUUUCUGCAAAGCUUUUACUACAACAUAAAGAAAUAAUUUUAACUUCAUAAGAAUCCUUUUCAAAGCUUCAAAUUCCAAGAAAUGUUUUAAAAGUACCUUCAUUAAUAAUGUUUUGGCCUCAUCUCUGACAAUUUCAAAGAUCUCUAUGGCACUGAUUAUGGUAUGACUACCUUUUACAAGCUGCAAAGUUAUUGUCAAACUCCUUCCACUAACAGGGAUUGAUGUAUUCAACACAAGAGCACUAUUAAUAUAUCCACUCAUUUUGACAAUAUCAAUCUCUUGAAACAACUAUCACCAUAUAUAAUGAUGUCAAAAACCUGUUGUCCCCUCAUGUGACUAAAUGAUCAAUCUCUGCAAAAUGCAACCAAAACAAGUAUGAAGAAGGGAACGCGGGCAAAAUGGGAACAUUCCAUUCAAUUUUGACUUUUAGGUCAAAAGAAUGAAUAAGAAUUGUAAUUUUUUUUAUCAACAUGUUACUUCAAAAUAAUUCUUUUUUCAUAUUAUUGUCUCUCAUCGAUUUCUUGUGUGUGUUGUAAUCCAUGUGGGUUGUUGCUUUUAACAAGCCCAGUUAGGAGUUGAAGAGCAUGGAAGAAUUCCUCAAGUUUGACCUGGAAUAUGACCAACCAGGCAGCUGACUGUAUGGCUGCUUAGCCGCAUUUCGGGACAGCUGACUAUAUGGUCGACAGUUUUCUAGGUGAAAGUACUUAUCUUUUCUUACAUUCAUGAACCAUAUCUGAUGCCAUUUUGUUUUUGUUAUUUUAUAUUGCAUUGACAGCUUUGUAAUUGCAUGCUCUUACUAAACUGUAUAUAUUACAACUCUAGCUUGACUAAAUCUUUUAACCAUACUGGGGAGAAAUUGAUAAAUCCAUCAACAAAUUUGACUCCAAAGAAUAAAGACGAUUUUUAUUUGGAAAAGAGGCAAUUCUUGUCAUGAUUCUCACUGAUCUUACAUCUUGUUUUUUUAUAUCAAGUUUAAAGUUUACUUAAUCUGCAUGAUUUUUGUUUCUAUACUUAUUUUAUUUAGAUUUAAAUGCAUAUUCUGCAACUACAACUUUAUUUUACCAAUGGCUUUCUUAUAAUUUAUGUUGACAUUUGUUUUUUUACCAAUUUAUGCAACGAAAUGGACUUGUUACAAAUCUAUGCAAAUGCCAAAAUUUGUGAAUUAAUUGCAACAAUUUGAAACAUGACUACUUGCAUAAUUCUUGUUAGUAAAAAGUCAUUGCAUAAUGGCAUGUGUUCAUUUCAAUCCUAGAAAGAUUAUCGCACCUUAGAGAGUAGAU